GAUGAACGCUGGCGGCGUGCCUAAUACAUGCAAGUCGAGCGAACGGACGAGAAGCUUGCUUCUCUGAUGUUAGCGGCGGACGGGUGAGUAACACGUGGAUAACCUACCUAUAAGACUGGGAUAACUUCGGGAAACCGGAGCUAAUACCGGAUAAUAUUUUGAACCGCAUGGUUCAAAAGUGAAAGACGGUCUUGCUGUCACUUAUAGAUGGAUCCGCGCUGCAUUAGCUAGUUGGUAAGGUAACGGCUUACCAAGGCAACAAUGCAUAGCCGACCUGAGAGGGUGAUCGGCCACACUGUAACUGAGACACGGUCCAGACUCCUACGGGAGGCAGCAGUAGGGAAUCUUCCGCGAUGGGCGAAAGCCUGACGGAGCAACGCCGCGUGAGUGAUGAAGGUCUUCGGAUCGUAAAACUCUGUUAUUAGGGAAGAACAUAUGUGUAAGUAACUGUGCACAUCUUGACGGUACCUAAUCAGAAAGCCACGGCUAACUACGUG
This 497-nucleotide ribosomal RNA is filed under the name uncultured bacterium. RNAcentral describes it as "partial 16S ribosomal RNA". It matches the Rfam family "Bacterial small subunit ribosomal RNA", at positions 28 to 507 of the family's 1533-position model. The record is from RNAcentral.